CCUUAAUCACAGUCUCGUGAUUCCACCCCCGGUCCUCCUCCGCUUCCUUUGUAGAUGCCAAUUCCUGCUCUAAGGGUUCAGGGACAGACCCCACUCACUUUGCGUAAGUGAGGACACCCCUGGGAUUAUCCCUGCGGUUCUGGUUAAUCUCCUCAAUGUAAGAAAAAACAGAGGAAUGAUACUAUUUUUAUCAAGGCAGAAGUUUAAAGCCAGCAUCACAAUCAUGUAAGGAGAAUUUUCAAAGAAAACUUCCAAAUAGGGCUUAGGAUGCUCGCAGCCCCAGGCCCAGGCCAUCCUAGGAGAAGAAAAGUUUGACUUAGUGGCCAUUGAGCUUUAUUUCUUGUGAACUCUGUCCCCUGUCUGUGGUCUUAUCUGGCACUCUGUCAUCACAGAGUCUCCUUAGUCUGUGAUUUGAGCAUCCUAAGAAGUAUUCACUGAUGAAGUUUAAUCAUCUCUCUGAAUAUUUACCUUUAAAAAAGUCAUCUUUAACACCAACCUGAGUUUAAGAUGGGGGGUAAUGAAGCUAAAAUGUUGGACUGAUAAACCGUGGUUCUGAACAAACUCACUACUAGUAAUUUUGCUGAACUAAUAAGCGAGUGUUUAUCUAGAACCUAACAUACUCUUCCUCCUGUCCUAGUUUCCAAGAGCAACUUGUCAUGUCUGACUUUCCAGGCUUUUGUAAAUGGAGGUUUACUGGCUACAUCAAGAUAAAGAUGAAAUGUAUCUCAAUAGAUGCAUGAUGGAUGACAGUGGGGAUGAUAUA
RNAcentral lists this long non-coding RNA (763 nucleotides) under Sus scrofa (pig). RNAcentral's name for it is "lncRNA (ENSSSCG00040067576.1)". Lineage: Eukaryota; Metazoa; Chordata; Mammalia; Artiodactyla; Suidae. The record is from RNAcentral.